This is an RNA transcript of Mastomys coucha (southern multimammate mouse), 1297 nucleotides long. It is a transcript of the gene named chromosome unknown C1orf50 homolog, with no coding region annotated. The transcript has 7 exons. The record is from RefSeq and is a predicted model, not a curated record. NCBI's taxonomy places the organism in Eukaryota, Metazoa, Chordata, Mammalia, Rodentia, Muridae.
GCGCUUCAGACUGAGCUUCCCUGCGGGUGGUGGGGCUGAGGUGUUGUUAUGGCGGACCCGGGGGUUCCCAGCCGGUACGAAAGUGGCACGGGAAAUCUGGGGGUGAAGGAGGCGGCGGAUCCUGGAGGAGCCCUGGUGGAGCUCACCCCAACACCCGGCGGCCUGGCUCUGGUGAGCCCCUACCACACCCACCGGGUCGGGGACCCCUUAGACCUCGUGGCGCUCGCCGAGCAGGUGCAGAAGGCUGAUGAAUUUAUCCGAGCGAAUGCUACUAACAAGCUGACAGUCAUUGCUGAACAAAUCCAGCAUUUGCAAGAACAAGCUAGGAAGGUGCUGGAGGAUGCUCGAAGAGAUGCUGACUUGCACCAUGUGGCUUGUAAUAUGGUGAAAAAACCUGGCAACAUUUACUAUCUUUACCAGAGGGAAAGUGGCCAGCAGUACUUUUCCAUUAUUUCUCCAGAGGAAUGGGGAGCAGGCUGUCCCCAUGACUUCCUUGGUGCCUACAAGCUGCAACAUGACAUGUCGUGGACUCCAUAUGAAGACAUGGAGAAGCAAGAUGCUAAAAUCGGCAUGAUGGACAAGCUGCUGAGCCAGCCCGUGGCCUUGCCCCCAUGCACUGAACCCACCUUCCAGGGACUGCCUCACUGAGUACGGCUCUGACUAGCAGCCCUCGUGACAAAGGCCUGAGUGCUACCCACCUCCUGUCCACAUGAAUCAUGAACUACUUGGAAGAUGAUCUUGAUGAAUGUAGCUGCUGGUUUUGCUGUCAGUGGGAUGGUAAGGGAUCACAGAACUGUGGGAUCUUCUUGGGUCCACUGAUGCCCAGUCAGUUGGUUUCCAAGGAUUGGCCAGUGCUUUCCUUCACCUCCAGCUGUUCCUCCCUUUAAGUCAAAACACUUGAGGAGGUAGAGCCUUCUUCCUGGCAAGUUGGUCAUCGUAUCAUGAACCAAGAGCAGAUCAGUUCUCAGAUGACUGAAUUUUCCUGGAAAGAUGUUAUUAAUGCCUUGGCCCUGGACAACAUGAUCCUGGGGCUCUUCUCCAUCUUCUGCAGCUUCAGCAGGUGUUAUCUUGCUGUUUUUCUCUCCGUUCCCGCUCACCGCCUUUUACUGCCUGACUUGGUCACUGUCCUACAUCUUCUCCCCUGAAGCCCUGUGGGGCAAAGGAGUUUGUACUAAGCAAUAGCGAGAGGAAGCCAUAUUGUCACCAGUCCUGCUGACUCUGUGGGCUGUACGCUUAGCAUCCUGGACCAAGACCUGCCCGUUCUCAUUAAAGCUUUCGGAUGCCUGUGUUGUCAUAU